This 253-nucleotide ribosomal RNA is filed under the name uncultured bacterium. RNAcentral describes it as "partial 16S ribosomal RNA". It matches the Rfam family "Bacterial small subunit ribosomal RNA", at positions 524 to 776 of the family's 1533-position model. The record is from RNAcentral.
UACGGAGGGUGCAAGCGUUAUCCGGAUUCACUGGGUUUAAAGGGUGCGUAGGUGGGGUGGUAAGUCAGUGGUGAAAUCUCCGAGCUUAACUUGGAAACUGCCAUUGAUACUAUCAUUCUUGAAUAUUGUGGAGGUUAGCGGAAUAUGUCAUGUAGCGGUGAAAUGCUUAGAUAUGACAUAGAACACCAAUUGCGAAGGCAGCUGGCUACACAUAUAUUGACACUGAGGCACGAAAGCGUGGGGAUCAAACAGG